RNAcentral lists this ribosomal RNA (1350 nucleotides) under Triticum aestivum (bread wheat). RNAcentral's name for it is "partial small subunit ribosomal RNA". The record is from RNAcentral. Lineage: Eukaryota; Viridiplantae; Streptophyta; Magnoliopsida; Poales; Poaceae.
AUGGUUGGGGGAGGAGGGGGAGGGGCGCUGCGGCGGGUGGGCAAGUACGAGGUGGGGCGGACCAUCGGGGAGGGGACGUUCGCCAAGGUCAAGUUCGCGCAGAACACGGAGACAGGGGAGAGCGUCGCCAUGAAGGUGCUCGAUCGCUCCUCCAUCCUCAAGCACAAGAUGGUGGAUCAGAUCAAGAGAGAGAUAUCCAUAAUGAAGCUUGUGAGGCAUCCCAAUGUGGUCAGAUUACAUGAGGUUUUGGCGAGCCGAAAGAAGAUAUUUAUAAUCUUGGAGUUCAUCACUGGUGGUGAACUAUUUGACAAAAUUAUUCGUCAUGGGAGACUCAGUGAAGCGGAUGCACGUAAAUACUUUCAGCAGCUUAUUGAUGGUGUUGAUUUUUGCCACAGCAAAGGAGUCUACCAUCGAGAUCUAAAGCCUGAAAAUCUUCUCCUUGAUUCCCAAGGAAAUCUUAAAAUUUCAGACUUUGGACUCAGUGCAUGGCCUGCACAGGGAGCUGCCCUUCUACGUACUACCUGUGGAACCCCAAACUAUGUUGCCCCAGAGGUUCUUAGUCAUAAAGGAUAUGAUGGAGCACUUGCUGAUACAUGGUCAUGUGGAGUUAUUCUAUAUGUCCUGUUGGCAGGUUAUCUUCCCUUCGAUGAAGUAGAUUUGACUACCCUUUAUGGGAAGAUUGAGAGCGCAGAAUAUUCAUUCCCAGCUGUGUUUCCAAGUGGUGCUAAGUCACUGAUACGCAGAAUUCUGGAUCCUAGCCCAGAUACACGAAUCAGGAUAAAAGAGAUCAGAAAGGAUGAAUGGUUUAAGAAAAAUUAUGAACCUGCCAGGGAAGUAGAAAAUGAAGAAGUAAAUCUCGAUGAUGUUAAUGCAGCUUUUGAUGAUCCUGAGGAGGACAAUGAACAUACUUUUGACGAUGAAGCAGGCCCUUUGACGCUCAAUGCAUUCGAUCUAAUUAUUCUAUCUCAAGGGUUGAACCUUUCGGCCCUAUUUGAUCGCCGACAGGACUAUGGCAAGCUUCAAAAUAGAUUUUUAUCACGCAAACCAGCAAAUGUUAUAUUGUCAAGUAUGGAGGUUGUUGCUCAAUCCAUGGGGUUGAAGACACAUAUUCGCAAUUAUAAGAUGAGGGUGGAAGGUCCAAAUGCGAACAAGACUAGCCAUCUCACAAUUAUGCUUCAAAUUUUUGAAGUUGCCCCAUCAAUCUUUAUGGUGGAACUAGAGAGAUCUGCUGGAGAAACUUCAGAGUAUAAUAAGUUCGUAAACAACUACUGCUCCAAAUUAGAUGAUAUCAUCUGGAAAGUUUCUGCUGAGAAGGGAAAAUCUAGGACAUCCCGGCUAUCGAAGCGCUAA